CAGCUAGCUUAUCCACCAACAUAACCAAACAAUAUAAAUAAAAUAGAAUAAACCCAAUACCAAAAACUAAACCAUUCUUUUACCUGAGUAUGGGAGACAGAAAAGGUUCAACCAAAGCAAUAGAAAUAGUACCGCAAGGGAAAGCUGAAAGAGAAAUGAAAUAACCCAUAUAAGUAUUAAAAAGCAAAGAUUAAACCUUGUACCUUUUGCAUCAUGAUUUAGCCAGUAAACACAAGCAAAGAGACCUUUAGUUUGAAACCCCGAAACCAGGUGAGCUACCCCGAGACAGCCUAUUAAGGGCCAACCCGUCUCUGUGGCAAAAGAGUGGGAAGAGCUCCGGGUAGAAGUGACAGACCUACCGAACCUGGUGAUAGCUGGUUGCCUAAGAAAUGAAUAGAAGUUCAGCCUCGUAUACCUCAAAUCAAACAAGCACUAACCAAGAUAUUAAGAGAAAAAUACGAGAGUUAGUUGAAGGGGGUACAGCCCCUUUAACAAAGGAUACAACCUUAUCCAGGAGGAUAAAGAUCAUAAUAUAUAAAAUAUACUGUUCUAGUGGGCCUAAGAGCAGCCACCUAAACAGAAAGCGUUAAAGCUCAGACAGAAAGAAGUUUAUUAUUCUGAUAAAAAAUCUUAUUCCCCUAAAUACUAUUAGGCUAAUCCAUGCCCCCAUGGAAGAAAUUAUGCUAAAAUGAGUAACAAGAAGGCUCGCCCUUCUCCCAGCACAAGUGUAAGCCAAACCGGACCAACCAUUGGCAAUUAACGAACUCAACCCAAGAGAGCAAUGUGAACCAUAAAAAGAACAAGAAAAACCCACACUUACAAUCGUUAUUCCCACACUGGAGUGCUAUUAAAGGAAAGACUAAAAGAAAAGGAAGGAACUCGGCAAACACAAGCCUCGCCUGUUUACCAAAAACAUCGCCUCCUGCAACACAACCAUGUAUAGGAGGUCCAGCCUGCCCAGUGACUACAAGUUCAACGGCCGCGGUAUUUUGACCGUGCAAAGGUAGCGCAAUCACUUGUCUUUUAAAUAGAGACCUGUAUGAAUGGCUAAACGAGGGCUUAGCUGUCUCCCCUUUCAAGUCAGUGAAAUUGAUCUGCCCGUGCAGAAGCG
RNAcentral lists this ribosomal RNA (1111 nucleotides) under Discocheilus wui. RNAcentral's name for it is "partial 16S ribosomal RNA". The stretch from base 182 to 1092 matches the Rfam family "Bacterial large subunit ribosomal RNA", at positions 568 to 2044 of the family's 2925-position model. The record is from RNAcentral. Lineage: Eukaryota; Metazoa; Chordata; Actinopteri; Cypriniformes; Cyprinidae.